AUUGAACGCUGGCGGCAGGCUUAACACAUGCAAGUCGGACGGUAACAGGAGGAAAGCUUGCUUUCUUUGCUGACGAGUGGCGGACGGGUGAGUAAUGCUUGGGAAUCUGUUUUAUGGAGGGGGAUAACUACGGGAAACUGUAGCUAAUACCGCGUAAUAUCGAGAGAUUAAAGUGUGGGACCGUAAGGCCACACGCCAUAGAGUGAGCCCAAGUGGGAUUAGGUAGUUGGUGGGGUAAAGGCCUACCAAGCCGUCGAUCUCUAGCUGGUCUGAGAGGAUGACCAGCCACACUGGGACUGAGACACGGCCCAGACUCCUACGGGAGGCAGCAGUGGGGAAUAUUGCACAAUGGGCGCAAGCCUGAUGCAGCCAUGCCGCGUGAAUGAAGAAGGCCUUCGGGUUGUAAAGUUCUUUCGGUGGUGAGGAAGGUUGUAAUGUUAAUAGCAUUAUAAUUUGACGUUAGCCACAGAAGAAGCACCGGCUAACUCCGUGCCAGCAGCCGCGGUAAUACGGAGGGUGCGAGCGUUAAUCGGAAUAACUGGGCGUAAAGGGCACGCAGGCGGAUACUUAAGUGAGGUGUGAAAGCCCUGGGCUUAACCUAGGAAUUGCAUUUCAUACUGGGUAUCUAGAGUAUUUUAGGGAGGGGUAGAAUUCCACGUGUAGCGGUGAAAUGCGUAGAGAUGUGGAGGAAUACCGAAAGCGAAGGCAGCCCCUUGGGGGAAUACUGACGCUCAUGUGCGAAAGCGUGGGGAGCAAACAGG
This 761-nucleotide ribosomal RNA is filed under the name uncultured bacterium. RNAcentral's name for it is "bacterial SSU rRNA". It matches the Rfam family "Bacterial small subunit ribosomal RNA", at positions 28 to 776 of the family's 1533-position model. The record is from RNAcentral.